GGUACUCUCGGGCUCUCCUUCCCCUAUAGAUGGAGGUUUACCUGCAUGGACUCUCGGGCUCUCCUUCCCCUAUAGAUGGAGGUUUACCUGCAUGGACUCUCGGGCUCUCCUUCCCCUAUAGAUGGAGGUUUACCUGCAUGGACUCUCGGGCUCUCCUUCCCCUAUAGAUGGAGGUUUACCUGCAUGGACUCUCGGGCUCUCCUUCCCCUAUAGAUGGAGGUUUACCUGCGUGGACUCUCGGGCUCUCCUUCUCCAGCAGACUUUUUCUUGUUCCUGUUGGUGCACUUGUACUAAAUGAACCUAUAUGAGUACACACUGUAAAGUGUGAAAUAUUGAAAUAGACUCUGCAGACAGGUUUUCUUUUCAUUUUUGUUUUUUGUGACAGGAUUUCUCUCUGUAGCCCUUGCUUUCUUUGAACUCACUCUGUAGAUCAGGCUGUCCUUGGACUCAUAGAUCUGCCUAUUUCUGUCUCCCAAGUGCUGGACUUAAGGCAUUUGCCACCACUGCUGACUUGUAGACAGAUUUUCAAAGACAAAGCAAUCCGUUAUGAACUUGAAUUUUGAAUAUUAGAGAUUGACAGUCAAACAGCAAUCUUUUCUGUUUUGUUAGGGAGCUCCACCAAACAAGAAUAUUUUUGCCUGUCAUGUCUCCUAAGACAUUAUUAUUUUUGGUCUACUUUUCAGUCAUGUGAGGAUCUAAUGUCAUUUGUAAUAUUUUGUGAACUUUGGGUAUAUGUUUCUGACUUUUGAGGUGCUUUCUUGCAAAUUGCCUGCUAAGUGUUAUAGGGUAUGCUUAAACAGAUCCUAAUUUAAAGAUUAUUAUUGAUGAGCAGUGCACAGCAGAGUGUGUCCUUCAUGCCAGAACUCUGUAGCUCUCUAGAUGCGGUGGAGCUCAGUACAGUCCAUGACACCCAGUUAGAAACUAAAAGUCAUGGGGGACAGGAUGGUACAGCUUACAGCACAGUGAGAUAACAGUGC
Molecule: long non-coding RNA, 977 nt
Organism: Acomys russatus (golden spiny mouse)
Lineage: Eukaryota; Metazoa; Chordata; Mammalia; Rodentia; Muridae
Exons: 3
Source: RefSeq, a predicted model, not a curated record